This 70-nucleotide transfer RNA is filed under the name Lophophanes dichrous. RNAcentral's name for it is "tRNA-Pro". It matches the Rfam family "tRNA". Rfam says of the family: Transfer RNA (tRNA) molecules are approximately 80 nucleotides in length. Their secondary structure includes four short double-helical elements and three loops (D, anti-codon, and T loops). Lineage: Eukaryota; Metazoa; Chordata; Aves; Passeriformes; Paridae. The record is from RNAcentral.
CAGAAGGUAGUUUAGUUGAGAAUACCAGCUUUGGGAGUUGGCGGUGGAGGUUCGACUCCUUCCCUUCUGA